UUCCUUUCCCCGUUCGGUUCAACUUCGGUUUGCUCACCGCUCGAGUUGUUGGUCCUCCUUCCUCCGCAAUCCUCGCCUCGAGUUCGCUCGCGGUGGGAGGAGGAACUGGGGCGCGAGGAUGAGCGUGAUCGACAUCCUGACGCGGGUGGACGCGAUCUGCCAGAAGUACGACAAAUACGACGUCGACCGGCUCAACGGCGCCAACGUCGCCGGCGACGACCCCUUCGCCCGCCUCUACGCCUCCGUCGACUCCGACAUCAACCAAUGCGUGGAGAAAGCGGAGACCGCGAAGCAGGAGAAGAACCGGGCCGCGGUGGUCGCGCUCAACGCCGAGAUCCGGCGCACAAAGGCCAAGCUCCUCGAGGAGGACCUGCCCAAGCUGCAGCGCCUCGCGCUGAAGAAGGUGAAAGGGCUCACAAAAGAAGAAAUUGCGACCCGUAGUGAUCUGGUUGCCGCCUUACCUGAUAGAAUACAAUCAAUACCAGAUGGUAGUUCUACGGCAACAAAGAAAAAUGGAACUUGGGGAGCUUCAGGAUCCCGCACUGGAGGAGCCAUUAAGUUCGACUCUACUGCUGAUGGGAACUUUGACAAUGAGUACUUUAAGGGGACAGAAGAAUCAAAUCAGUUUCGUCGGGAAUAUGAGAUGCGCAAAAUGAAACAGGAUGAAGGUUUGGAUGUCAUUGGUGAAGGACUGGAAACUCUGAAAAAUAUGGCAUCUGAUAUGAAUGAGGAAUUGGAUAGACAAGUUCCACUGAUGGAUGAGUUGGAUGAUAAGGUGGAUAAAGCCAAUGCAGAUUUGAAGAAUACCAACGUGAGACUAAAGGAAACUGUUCUUCAGCUGAGAUCCAGUCGCAACUUCUGCAUCGAUAUCAUCCUUCUUUGUGUUAUUCUUGGCAUUGCGGCCUACCUUUACAAAUCUGGAGUGGAAGCUUAUAUAUGUUGGAUCCGCUGAAGAUGAAAACUAUGAUCAGCAACUUGAGAGCGUGCUUGUUGGUCCUGUCAAUGUUGGGACCUACCGUUUCGUACUCCAGGCUGACCCACCAGAUCCCACAAAGAUCCGUGAAGAAGACAUAAUUGGUGUGACCGUGCUGCUAUUGACAUCCUCUUACAUGGGACAGGAGUUCAUGAGAGUAGGUUACUACGUGAACAAUGAUUAUGAUGAUGAGCAACUGAGAGAAGAGCCCCCAGCAAAGGUGCUGAUCGACAGGGUGCAGAGAAAUAUUUUGGCUGACAAGCCACGGGUCACCAAGUUUCCUAUCAA
RNA transcript from Phragmites australis (common reed), 1261 nucleotides. It is a transcript of the gene named syntaxin-71-like, with no coding region annotated. The transcript has 10 exons. The record is from RefSeq and is a predicted model, not a curated record. NCBI's taxonomy places the organism in Eukaryota, Viridiplantae, Streptophyta, Magnoliopsida, Poales, Poaceae.